Molecule: long non-coding RNA, 973 nt
Organism: Helianthus annuus (common sunflower)
Lineage: Eukaryota; Viridiplantae; Streptophyta; Magnoliopsida; Asterales; Asteraceae
Exons: 3
Source: RefSeq, a predicted model, not a curated record
UCUACAAACCCUAAAUCCAUUGUCGCUGCCUGUCUACUCUCCAGAUAUCUCGAUCCAUGAAAUUGAUUUCACCACUCGAUUAUUUCUCAAUUUCUGAUUCGCAACUGAUCUCCAUGGAUAUACCAAUUUGAUUUUGCAUUCAUGAUACGUAAUCCGUAUGUUUCUUCGCCUUGAAUUUUAAGGAUUUUUCGGUUAUCAUGUCGUCAAUUGUAGCAAGAACGCAUUGUCAUCUUCAGCGUUACGAGAACAAUCUUCGCUUCUGUUAGGGGCCUUUGUAUGCGUUAUAGCUGGUGAUUGGAUGUAUACAACAGAGGAGGUGUAAUUGGAACCCUGUGCUUCAUAUGCAGAAUUACUUUUCUUUGACCAAGGUGUUGUAUGAGUUGCAACUGGUGACAUGGAGGCGUCAACGACAGAAUUGUGGUGGAUAGUAGGAUCCGGUGACGAGUGGAGUGUCUGAGAAAAAAAGUGUAAGAGAUCUGGUGGUGUUGGGUCCAAAUGGGUCAGAAUUCAACUAUUGCCAAAUGGGCUAGCAAGUUGUUAAAGAAUGAAAUAUUAGAUUAUGAUGAAAAAGAUGUCACCCUUGUAAGUGUAACACUGGCUAUUUGAAGGUGGACUAGCUUAAGUUGGAACUGAUGUUGCAAAAUGCACUCUGGUCAUUUUCUUUAUGAACCUUUAGUGACCGAGACGGAACCAAGGGGGGGUCAAGAGGGUCACUAGAAUUCAUCAGACUGAUUUACUGAGUUUUUUUUUCAAGAAAAAAACGAAUUUGACCCCCUAGUUAUAGUCGGUAGAUAAGAAAAACUUGUCACAACCCACGACCAACAAGUUUAGGUACAGACACUAAUAGUAGAUUGUAAUGAGAUACCUCAAGCCUGAUAGGAGUUUGAUUUGAAUCAUCAACGGCCAUGGCAUUUCCAGAAUUCAUAUUUAGCUGCAGAAUUUCAAAGAGAUAUUGUUUCCCUUUAGGAUCAAG